GGGUACUUGGUCGAGUCUGGUUUAUGGCACUCGUCUUGAAAACGAGAACUUUUUUAGUCGUGAGUUCAAAUCUCACAGUGCCCG
This 84-nucleotide transfer RNA is filed under the name Schizopora paradoxa. RNAcentral describes it as "tRNA-Ser". It matches the Rfam family "tRNA". Rfam says of the family: Transfer RNA (tRNA) molecules are approximately 80 nucleotides in length. Lineage: Eukaryota; Fungi; Basidiomycota; Agaricomycetes; Hymenochaetales; Schizoporaceae. The record is from RNAcentral.